GAUGAACGCUAGCGGCAGGCUUAAUACAUGCAAGUCGAGGGGCAGCGCAGUGUAGCAAUACAUGGGCGGCGACCGGCAAACGGGUGCGGAACACGUACAGAACCUUCCUUCGAGCGGGGAAUAGCCCAGAGAAAUUUGGAUUAAUACCCCAUAGUAUAUUAGAGUGGCAUCACUUUAAUAUUAAAGAUUUAUCACUUGAAGAUGGCUGUGCGGCUGAUUAGGAGUUGGCGGGGUAACGGCCCACCAAGCCAGCGAUCAGUAACUGGUGUGAGAGCACGACCAGUCACACGGGCACUGAGACACGGGCCCGACUCCUACGGGAGGCAGCAGUAAGGAAUAUUGGUCAAUGGACGCAAGUCUGAACCAGCCAUGCCGCGUGGAGGAUGAAGGUCCUCUGGA
RNAcentral lists this ribosomal RNA (399 nucleotides) under uncultured bacterium. RNAcentral's name for it is "bacterial SSU rRNA". It matches the Rfam family "Bacterial small subunit ribosomal RNA", at positions 28 to 422 of the family's 1533-position model. The record is from RNAcentral.